RNAcentral lists this small RNA (341 nucleotides) under Pongo abelii (Sumatran orangutan). RNAcentral describes it as "retained intron". The record is from RNAcentral. Lineage: Eukaryota; Metazoa; Chordata; Mammalia; Primates; Hominidae.
AGGAUUUUGGAUUUGGACUGCAGAUCACAUCUCUCUUACAGUUUGAAUCCAUUCAGAAUUAAUGGUCCAGUUGUCAAGAAAACAUUUCUAUUUCAAUUUCAGCGAUGAAGAACGAUACAGAUACAGGGAAUAUGCAGAAAGAGGUUAUGAGCGUCACAGAGCAAGUCGAGAGAAAGAAGAACGACAUAGAGAAAGACGACACAGGGAGAAAGAGGAAACCAGACAUAAGUCUUCUCGAAGUAAUAGUAGACGUCGCCAUGAAAGUGAAGAAGGAGAUAGUCACAGGAGACACAAACACAAAAAAUCUAAAAGAAGCAAAGAAGGAAAAGAAGCGGGCAGUG